AUGAGGAGGUCGGUUACCUAUUAAGAUGUCCAUGGUCGUCACGUUUAGUUACUAGUAUUUUUUCUCUUUUGUUUCUGUUUUUUGUGCAUUUUCCAUUUGAGUUUUCUAUUGUUGAGCCUCAGAUAUUUGGUAGACGCUUAAUGGUGGAAUGAUUGGACCGGAUUUAGGGUUGUGUUCUCAGAUUGGCGGGCAGUUACACUGGUUGUUGUUUUUUAACGAAGGGCUAUGAGUGCGCUGGUGUCAGUGUAGAUACAUAUGUAUGCGCACAUGUGGUUUUUGUUGUUCUUCUACUUAUAGAUCGCUAAAAUCUGAGUUUGAGAAAUGCGGGACCAUCCAUGUCCGAAUAUAACUGACGCAUUUUGUAGCUAGAACACGUUUUUCCUACAAUUAUCCCGCUCCUCUUAGAAAAAUUCUGCUUUCACUCCAACUCUUCAUCAUUUUAUAAGAAUUUGUCUACCAUUACCACACCCACACACAAACAUUACGGCUAGUAGUUUAUUAGUCAAAUUUCCAUGGCCACACAUUUUGUCUUUUUCUCGUUUUCUUAUUGUGUUUUCUGUCACUGUGAAAGUGACGGAGAAAAAGGAGUUUGAAUCAGAUUUGCAAAACGGGCUGUAUCAAUAAUACUGUCAUUCCUAAUGUCUGAUUCAUCGUCAACUCUGUAAAAAGAGAACAAGAAAGGAAAAAUUGAUGGGCAAAAGUAUAUAUAGAAAUGGUUUAUUCCCGUUUUUUCCAUUUUUCAGUAGAUUUUUCCCUUUUGCGAGAAUAAAUUGACACUUGAACAAAAAGCUUCGAAGAAAAAUCUAUUCACUGAACUUAUAUAUAGAAAAAUCAAAUGUGCUAAGUAUAUUUAAAAUGGAAACAAAUAGGGGGAAAGAGAUAGGUAGAUAAACAGCCCAAGGGACAAGGACACCCUUCCUCAGGCACUGAAUAUAUUGGAGAGUGGACAGUAACAGAGAAAUGAUACAAGAUGGAAAGCCAUAAAUUGAGAUUUUCUUGAAUGGGUUCAUUUAGAUAUUUCUCUUUAGCCAUUUUUGAUAAUCAAUACAGUAUUCUUGUUCCCAUCCUUGUCAGAUUAAGGAAGGAACAUUAAUUCCAAACAGGAAAAACUGUGUGUUCACUUCGUGGGUUUGCGUGUUGUACAUUUCCUUCAUCCGUGUUGGCGGUUACUUUCCUCAAUAUACCUUCAGUGCAUACAAAUUUUUGGAACAAUUU
Molecule: telomerase RNA, 1215 nt
Filed under: Saccharomyces kudriavzevii
Lineage: Eukaryota; Fungi; Ascomycota; Saccharomycetes; Saccharomycetales; Saccharomycetaceae
Description: Saccharomyces telomerase
Rfam family: Saccharomyces telomerase
Source: Rfam by way of RNAcentral